UACGUAGGGUGCGAGCGUUGUCCGGAAUUAUUGGGCGUAAAGAGCUCGUAGGCGGUGUGUCACGUCGGCCGUGAAAACCUGCAGCUUAACUGUGGGCGUGCGGUCGAUACGGGCAUCACUGGAGUUCGGCAGGGGAGACUGGAAUUCCUGGUGUAACGGUGAAAUGCGCAGAUAUCAGGAGGAACACCGGUGGCGAAGGCGGUUCUCUGGGACGGUACUGACGCUGAGGUGCGAAAGCGUGGGGAGCAAACAGG
Molecule: ribosomal RNA, 254 nt
Filed under: uncultured bacterium
Lineage: Bacteria
Description: partial 16S ribosomal RNA
Rfam family: Bacterial small subunit ribosomal RNA
Source: RNAcentral